RNAcentral lists this ribosomal RNA (417 nucleotides) under uncultured bacterium. RNAcentral's name for it is "bacterial SSU rRNA". It matches the Rfam family "Bacterial small subunit ribosomal RNA", at positions 1000 to 1414 of the family's 1533-position model. The record is from RNAcentral.
CCUGAAAGGGUAGGGUGCCCGCAAGGGAGCGUGGAGACAGGUGGUGCAUGGCUGUCGUCAGCUCGUGUCGUGAGAUGUUGGGUUAAGUCCCGCAACGAGCGCAACCCUCACCCCUAGUUGCCACCGGGUAAAGCCGAGCACUCGAGGGGAACUGCCAGCGUCAAGCUGGAGGAAGGCGGGGAUGACGUCAAGUCAUCAUGCCCCUUACGCCUUGGGCUACACACGUGCUACAAUGGCCAGUACAGAGAGAUGCGAGACCGCGAGGUGGAGCCAAUCCCAAAAAGCUGGUCUAAGUUCAGAUUGCAGUCUGCAACUCGACUGCAUGAAGUAGGAAUCGCUAGUAAUCGCGCAUCAGCACGGCGCGGUGAAUACGUUCCCGGGCCUUGUACACACCGCCCGUCGCACCACGAAAGCUGG